UAUUACUGUAGCAUAGGUAUUUAUAACUAAACAAAUUUAUUAGUUUAUAUGCAUUUUAAUUUUUUUAUAUAUUUAAUAUGCUUUAUUAUUUUUAGCAAUCUGAAGAAAAUUGUGAACUAGACCCCAAACUGUAUAAUGUCGUUCCACAGACCAGUAAUGAAAUGCAAUCUGAAGAAAAUUGUGAACUAGUGACCAAAUUGUGUAAUGUCAUUCCACAGACCAGUAAUGAAAUGCAAGCUGAAGAAAUUUGUGAGCCCAAAUCUUGUUAUGUUCCACAGACUAGUAGUUUCAGUAAUGAAAUG
Molecule: long non-coding RNA, 302 nt
Organism: Acyrthosiphon pisum (pea aphid)
Lineage: Eukaryota; Metazoa; Arthropoda; Insecta; Hemiptera; Aphididae
Exons: 3
Source: RefSeq, a predicted model, not a curated record